Molecule: long non-coding RNA, 241 nt
Organism: Sphaerodactylus townsendi
Lineage: Eukaryota; Metazoa; Chordata; Lepidosauria; Squamata; Sphaerodactylidae
Exons: 4
Source: RefSeq, a predicted model, not a curated record
ACUAGCCCAAGGCGGAGGCAAGCCCGUCCCCGUUGAAUGCCAUCUCUGAAGACAUUUACACCAAUGGCUCAGCCCUGCUGGGCAGCCCGGCCCACGCAAAUGGGCGGGAAGUCCGGAAAAUGAGGUUCAUCCAGUUUGAGAAGGUCACAGAAGAGCCCAUGGGCAUCACAUUGAAGCUGAACGAGAAGCAGAGCUGCAUGGUGGCCAGAAUCCUCCAUGGAGGCAUGAUUCACAGGCAAGG